GGCUUGGUGGUGGAUGGUGCACAUCUGCGUGUUGUGAUGUUGUGAUAGAAAUCUGCGCAGAAGGAGCCUGUUCGAUUCGGGCCCAAGCCA
Non-coding RNA from Mycena vulgaris, 90 nucleotides. NCBI's taxonomy places the organism in Eukaryota, Fungi, Basidiomycota, Agaricomycetes, Agaricales, Mycenaceae. The record is from the annotation of a GenBank genome assembly.